GUGUGUGUGUGUGUGUGUGUGUGUGUGUGUGUGUGUGUAUACAUCCUUUGAGAUAAUAGCUAUCUAUCCACUGAUUAAGAGUCUGCUUUUGGGUGGGUGUAAUUAACAGGAGGAGGAGAGUGUUGAAGGAAGUAAAAGAGAUGGUCUAGGAGUUGGGGAGAUCAGCAGUGAGCAGAAGCAGAUCCCAAGACCUGCUGCUCCUUUCGUUUAUGCCCUUGUGUUUUACAGAACAAGAGUCAUUCCCUCUAGAGCCAGCUGUGAACGCUUUAGGGUGGCAGACCAGGCUCUGAGUCCUCAAGGGAUAAAGGUCAAACAGAUUAGUCUUGAAUUAUAGCAGGCUGAUAAUAGAUUAUAUACAGUCCUUCUCUAGACCAAUAAUAUAAUGAAAACGGUAAGGAUUGCCAGUGCCUGGCAGUGUAUGACAACAUCAUGAGUCUCCAAGUGUUAUCAUCCCACUCAACCAAUGAGGACACUGAGAAAGAGCCUUCUUCCUAACACAGCCAUUAAGUGACAGAGCUGGGUAGACUAGAUAGAUAGACUGUCUCCCAGAGCCACCACACUGUGCUCAUCCAGGCUAAAAUUGGUUCAAGAAUGUACAUUUUGGGACUUUUUAUUUAUUCUCUCAUUUUCAUCGAUUAUCAUAAUCUCAACUAAUAGAGCUUUUUUUUGCAAAUAUCACAGAUAUGUAUCAUGAUGCCAUUUGACUCUAUUUUUUUAUUAUUGUGUCUUAUUUAAUAUAUUACAUUUUAUGGGUUCUCUUUACUUCAAUAGCAAGUUUUUAAACAGUAUGUACCCAGAUAUGUCUGGAAGGAAUGGUGUGUUAAAUCCAGUACUUUUUUUUAAGCUGUGUCUUAUAUUUUCCUCUUAAUAAUUUGUUCAAAGCAAUGAAAAUAGAAAUGACCAUUGUUGGUAAGAGAAGGAAGAUGCAAAGAAGAUAAAAUGUAAAAAAAAAAACCAAUUAAUUGCUUACACUUGAGGUAGAGGAUAGUGUAGUUCUGAGUAGGAAAGACAGCCUUAAGGAGAGCCAUCGCUUUUGUCCUUUUAGUGACUUAGUUGUCUCGAUGCUAACCUUCCACGUCUUCUGCGGGAUCAGAUGACUGGGUCAUUCACUGUCAGAUUUUAUUUCUUUAAUUGUGCUAUGAAUUUUGGAGGCACGGUGAUUAAAUAGCAGGAAAAUAUUAUUUCAGUGCUCAGUGGUUGACUAUAAUGAUUUCUAAGUUUUUAUUCAGAUUGAGGUCUGUACUAUUGUUUAAUUUAAAGAGACAGAACAAAAACAGAGAGUUGGUUAGCACUUUUUGUCUUCCUUCUGUGGAAUCCUCAAACCACACAGUACAGCCUUAAUAACUGUUAAUGAAUGAAAAGUCAGCUCAUCUUCAAAUAGGUAGCACACAAUAUAAGCUGGGGAAUGCCACCAACUGGGAAAGUGCUUUUCCUCUGGAAGUUCACAGGCCUGGGUUCGAGGCCUCAGCCCUGGCUGCCAUUAACUAGUCUGCUUUGUUCCCUUUUGUUUUGGUUUUUCUUCAGUUCUUUCUUAGCCCUAAUGGGUUUCUUCACAAGGCUCAGGGUAGACAAUGACAAAAGAAGCAAAGCUAGAAGUAUAUUCAUAUAGAGAGACAAUAGGAAUCAAGUAGAGCAUUAACAAGCUUCCAAGAAGUUGCAUACUGUAAGCAACAGCUUUUGAAAGGUCUCCUGAACUGCAGCUGCUGUGGAGACCUCUAAUAAAUCUGAAGGAGCAAAGCUGUGAUACAGUGGGGAAGGACUUCAGCUAGUCUAACAAACGUUCUGCAGAAUGCAGACACUUAUCUCCCUAUCUCUAGAUGCUUAAUAUGACUUUUAAAAUGC
Molecule: long non-coding RNA, 1842 nt
Filed under: Mus musculus (house mouse)
Lineage: Eukaryota; Metazoa; Chordata; Mammalia; Rodentia; Muridae
Description: long non-coding RNA chr6:33843108-33844950
Source: RNAcentral